CCCUUAGAUGUUCUGGGCUGCACGCGUGCUACAAUGGCGUUUCCAGCAAGUCUGCGAACCCGAGAGGGCCAGCGGAUCUUCGAAUUGGCGUCGUGAUCGGGACAGUCGAUUGCAAUUAUUUGACUCAAACGAGGAAUUCCUUGUAAUCGCGAUUCAUCAUAUCGCGCUGAAUACGUCCCUGCCCUUUGUACACACCGCCCGUCGCUCCUACCAAUUGAGCGAUCCGGUAAAUGUUUUGGAUUGGUGCCGGGGCGGCUAGCUGCCGGUCGCUACGAAAUUUUGUGAACCUUAUCGCUUAGAGGAAGGAAAAGUCGUAACA
RNAcentral lists this ribosomal RNA (319 nucleotides) under uncultured eukaryote. Its description in RNAcentral is "partial 18S ribosomal RNA". It matches the Rfam family "Eukaryotic small subunit ribosomal RNA", at positions 1470 to 1796 of the family's 1831-position model. The record is from RNAcentral.